GACGAACGCUGGCGGCGUGCUUAACACAUGCAAGUCGAACGGAAAGGCCUGCUUUCCCUAGUGGAUUGCGGGUACUCGAGUGGCGAACGGGUGAGUAACACGUGAGUGAUCUGCCCCCAACUUGGGUAUAAGCCUGGGAAACUGGGUCUAAUUCCCGAUAGGACUGCAGGGUGGUGCCUGUGGUGGAAAACGAUUUUCUAGUGGUUGGGGAUGAGCUCGCGGCCUAUCAGCUUGUUGGUGGGGUAAUGGCCUACCAAGGCGACGACGGGUAGCCGGCCUGAGAGGGUGGACGGCCACAUUGGGACUGAGAUACGGCCCAGACUCCUACGGGAGGCAGCAGUGGGGAAUAUUGCACAAUGGGCGGAAGCCUGAUGCAGCGACGCCGCGUGGGGGAUGACGGCCUUCGGGUUGUAAACUCCUUUCGACCGCGAGGAAGCCACCUGGUUGGAAGGGUGGUGACGGUAGUGGUAGAAGAAGCACCGGCUAACUACGUG
This 494-nucleotide ribosomal RNA is filed under the name uncultured bacterium. Its description in RNAcentral is "partial 16S ribosomal RNA". It matches the Rfam family "Bacterial small subunit ribosomal RNA", at positions 28 to 507 of the family's 1533-position model. The record is from RNAcentral.